CCCCCGAGGCUGCUGCGCCAGAGGGAAGUUGUCAUGUUUGUUGGCAGCGUAGGGAUUGAUGGAGCACAAUGCUGACAGUCACCUUCCUCAUCUUCAGUCUCCUUGAGUCACGUGGAACAAGGUAUCCUUGACACAACAUAAAUGACAAGGUAUCGUGUAGUAUCAACCAGUAGCAGCCAGAGAGGUGAGUGGUGAGUCAAAAUCUCUUUUUACUAUUCCAGAUUCACUGCUGCUUCAGUCCCCUUAAUUUCUUUCCUCAGUUUCUGAAGCUUGUGGUCCAGAAGAGUUUCACUUCUUUUGUUUGCUGGUGGAGGACCUAAGUGCUCGGGAAUUAGCUCUGAGGCAAUACCUGAACAUGAGUUCUACUUCCCACAGUACACCUAGAAUAGUCAAGGGAUCUCCAAGUGUAGCAAGGACUCUGGACAAUUCUCUCCCACCUUCCAUUAGCAUUUCCUGAUGUGGUUCUAGAACAUCUAGCCUCAAACCAGCUGCAGCCAUAUCCUCAACUUUUUCAACACUGCUGCAGUGCAAGAAGCAUUUUCUCCUGUUGUAUCAGGUAUAUGCAUCUUUAACUCCUUAACACUCUGUAAGCCAAUGUAGAGCUUUCCCUGGUGAAAUCAUCCCAGAGAUCUUUGGAAAAUCAGUGAAUAAGGAUUAAAACAAAAAGGCAUUCAUUCAGAUGUUCUGUUCAGGACUGGAUUCAUGUAGAUGGUAAU
Molecule: long non-coding RNA, 716 nt
Filed under: Anser brachyrhynchus (Pink-footed goose)
Lineage: Eukaryota; Metazoa; Chordata; Aves; Anseriformes; Anatidae
Description: lncRNA (ENSABRG00000020242.1)
Source: RNAcentral